AAAAGAAUUUUAGUCCAACCUAAAGUUACAAAAAUUAACAUAAAUGUCCUUCCCACUUUAGAGCAAUUCAAAUGAGGUACAGCCCAUUUGAUACAGGAUCCAACCUUCACUAACGGGUAAUAUAUGACUUACACCUACAAGUAGGCCUAAGAGCAGCCACCUUUUAAAAAGCGUCAAACCUUAGCUGUGUUUACACCAAUUCAUUGCCCCCCAUCAACCCCUUUCACCAUAUUGAGAAAUUCCAUAAUGUUAUGGAACCUUUUAUGUUAAAACUAGUAACAAGAGAAAGCCCCCUCUCUAUAAUGCAAACUCAAGCCAGCAAGAACCCAUCACUGGCAACUAACAAACAAGUAAAGUAGUAACUUUCUCCAGAAAACUCUACUUCUCCUAACUGUUAACCUUACACAAGAGCAUUUCAAGAAAGAUUUUAAGAAAAAGAAGGAACUCGGCAAACACAAAUCCCGCCUGUUUACCAAAAACAUCGCCUCUUGUCCACUCAUAAGAGGUCCAGCCUGCCCAGUGACUCUUGUUCAACGGCCGCGGUAUCCUAACCGUGCAAAGGUAGCGUAAUCACUUGUCUUUUAAAUAAAGACUAGUAUGAAAGGCAUCACGAGGAUUAAACUGUCUCCUUUUUCUAAUCAGUGAACCUAAUCUCCCCGUGAAAAAGCGGGGAUUUUUAUAUAAGACGAGAAGACCCUAUGGAGCUUAAAACAUCAUAACACUGCACCCCAUUUUCACCAAUCCAGAUAUUACCCAAACAGCACGCUGAUUAUAUGUUUUCGGUUGGGGUGACCGCGGAGGAAAACCUAUCCUCCGCGAUGACAAAGGGGGCCCCCCCCAAACAAUAAGUCACAACUUUAUGUAUCAACAAAUUGACAUUAUUGACCCAAUAUAUUGAUUAACGAACCAAGUUACCCUAGGGAUAACAGCGCAAUCCACUUUGAGAGCUCCUAUCGACAAGUGGGCUUACGACCUCGAUGUUGGAUCGGGGUAUCCUGGUGGCGCAGCCGCUACUAAAGGUUCGUUUGUUCAACGAUUAAAACCCCACGUGAUCUGAGUUCAGACCGGAGUAAUCCAGGUCAGUUUCUAUCUAUACAGCGCUAUUUUUAGUACGAAAGGACCAAAAUAGCCCGGCCACUGCCCCUGACAAGCCCUUAUUAAUUACUUUUGACCUCUACUCAAAAACUAUUAACCC
This 1195-nucleotide ribosomal RNA is filed under the name Pristimantis sp. QCAZ 46223. RNAcentral's name for it is "partial large subunit ribosomal RNA". It matches the Rfam family "Bacterial large subunit ribosomal RNA", at positions 862 to 2815 of the family's 2925-position model. The record is from RNAcentral. Lineage: Eukaryota; Metazoa; Chordata; Amphibia; Anura; Strabomantidae.